AUAUCUCUCCGUACGGGAAGGAUGAGAAGCUUCGACUAAGGUUCGAUUCGAGCGCAGCGAGAAAGCGUUGCCGCAGGCAACGACCCGAAGG
This 91-nucleotide small RNA is filed under the name Salmonella enterica. RNAcentral's name for it is "partial RtT sRNA". It matches the Rfam family "RtT RNA", at positions 1 to 90 of the family's 130-position model. From Rfam's summary of the family: This family represents a bacterial cis-regulatory element known as RtT RNA. The exact function of RtT is unknown although it is thought that it may be involved in changing the cellular response in relation to amino acid starvation. The record is from RNAcentral. RNAcentral also lists the same sequence under 10 other names. Lineage: Bacteria; Pseudomonadati; Pseudomonadota; Gammaproteobacteria; Enterobacterales; Enterobacteriaceae.